Molecule: long non-coding RNA, 666 nt
Filed under: Mustela putorius furo (domestic ferret)
Lineage: Eukaryota; Metazoa; Chordata; Mammalia; Carnivora; Mustelidae
Description: lncRNA (ENSMPUG00000025918.1)
Source: RNAcentral
AGAAGAUCCGGGCAGCUGUGGAUGUCUCCAAAACCAGACUAUCACACAGUUGUAAAACUGCUGGAAGAUGGAAACCACAAGGCAGACGCAGGCAUAGGUCCUAUUAAGCCUGCUCUUUGGUUCAGCGUCACAGACUGGUGAGGCUGUGACUCCCACCAGACCAGCAUCUGUUUAGACAAACUUUGUUGUGGGUUAACGUGCAUGUGAGGUUAGGGAUGUUGCUGACAGAUCACUUGAAAGCCAAAGCCACAAAACUGCUGGGAAUGGUCUCAGCACGUCAGAGCUUUGGAGCACUUGCCACAUAACUCAAAAGACUCCAAACCCAGGGUAAGUUGGUCACAGAGUGGGUUAGAUUGACAGUAGGCCACCUGCCAACCCCCAAAAUAAUUCUGUGCAAUGAGGUGCCCUGUGAAACACCACCCAGUCCCCACGGCAGCAGCCCAUCCCUCUCAGCUAUUAGUAUCUCUCUAAGAGAACCAAGCCUUAACUAAAGAUGCUAAUGUGCAUAUAAGAAAAAACUGGAUGUUUUCCUUUUGUCUUGUUCUAUGUCUUGAGAGCUUGGCCUUGUGACUAGGAGAGAAUAUCCUUCCUGGUCUCCCAGCAACCAGAAGGUGCACAUACCAGAAUGCAUCUUGGUGGGCAGUCUGUGGGCUGGGGUUCCAAGAC